AGCAGCAGCCGCCGCCGACUGAGGAGCCGCAGCCAGGGAGCCAGCCAGCGCCGCCCAGUGCCGAGUGCGCAGCGGCCGCGCACGGAAACAGCCGAGCUAGGCCCGGAGCAGCUCGAGCGGCCCCGCCCCCGCGCUGGGGACGGAACUUGCCGAAGACCUUCGGGUUUCUUCGGGCGACGAGAAGGGGUUCCGCGGGGAGAGGGAAGGCGAAGGCGGGCUGAGCCCGGCGCCGGGAGGAGUGGUCUAAACUCCACCGCGGCUUUCGCAUCGGAGACGUGUCUUUAGGAAGCAGAGAGGGUUCGAUUCUGGACUCCGCCCAUGACUCACUUCUCUUGUAAAGAAAGAGUUGUCCUUCCUGGUACUCCAGGUACCCUACUGUUUUCUUAUGGACUUUGCCCUUAACGAGUCUCCUUUCCUUCUGUUACUCUCAACCUUUCCUUCUCUACCGGCUCUUUCUUACUGGUAUUUAAACAUGCUUAAGUCUUUCAAUUCUUUAAAAAGAUUUCUCUUCUCCCUAAAUUGCUCUCCAACAACUGCAGCUGUCUCUUACCCCAUGGACAGUCUUUCAUGUCCCACCUCCCAGCCCUCUCCAGUGUCCCCACCGCUCACCUGAAGUGGCUCUGAAUUGUCCACAGACAAGCUUCAUGACUGUAAAUGCAGCGGAUCAUUUUCAGUCCUCAUUUUACAAGCCCUCAUCCCAGUAUUUGACGCGAUUGACCACAGUUGCUUCCAAAUACCCUCUUCCCUCUGGUCUUAUGUCCCAGGUUUCCUCCCUACCUGAGUUUGCUCUUUAACAACCAGCUCCUCCUUGAUCUACCUCUUACACAUUGGAAUCAUGCUGAGCUGAACCCUGGCCCUCUUACUGAGUCUCCCCAUACACUUUCCUAGGUGGUCUUAUGCUCUCCCAGCAGCAUCAAAUACCCUCUGUCAAAGACUCUUCAAUCCAUAACUCAAGCCUAGAUCUUGCUCUGGAAUCCUACAUUCAUAGUUCCCAGCAUACUGCCUUUGGUACACUUUCAUUUGGAUGACUUAGGGCAUUUCAAACUCAACCCGUAUAUCAUAAUUCCUUCAAAACGCUCCUCCCAUAGUCCCUGGUUCAGUAAAGGGUAUCUUAACAUCUACCCAGUUCAUGCCAGAAACCUAGCACACCUCCAACACACAGCAGAAUCACCUACAUCUGUCUGCUCCCUGGAAAAUUGGAUUUGUGACCUCUCUCUGUUCCCAUGACCAUUUUUUCAUUCCCAUUCUAGUCUAAACCACUGUUGCCUCUUGCUUGAAGUCCCACAGUAACCCAUUCAGGUCCUCCAAAACUGCUCUUGCCUCGUUCCAAUACAUUUGCCAUACUGCUGCCAGAGUAAUUUUUUAAAUAUAAAUCUGAUCAUUGACCUGCUUAAAUUCCUCCAGUGGUCUCCCUUUGCUUACCACACAUUGUCUAAGCUCCAUUAUCUGUACUUGUCUUUCUCUCCAGCCUCUCCAUCUGUCCCCCUAGCUGCCUGCACUCCUGCCAUAGUAUUUUAAUUUUUUCCAGGCUCUCCUCUUUUUAUUCCCUACUGUAGGCUCUCACUUCAGGGCAUUUACACAUGCCCUUCCCUUCCCCUGGAAUUUUUUUCUGUCACCCAUUCCUCCUACUUAACUGUAACUUAUCACUUUCUUUUCCAAUUCCUACUUCUCAUUAUUUGUUUAGUGUCCAUGUAAUUGUGCAGGUAAGGACCACGUCUGUCUUGUUCACUACCAGCUUUUCCUCUCCCUAGCAACAGCACAAUGUCUAGAAUAUAGUGGUACUUGUUAGGUAUUUAUCGAAUAAAUAGUGAAUUUCUGAGUGGUCCCGGGCAAAGUUUUCUCAACAUUUGAAUUCAAAUCCUGGCUCUCAGUGAGUUCAGGUUGCCGUAGUAAAGUACCAUAUAGACUGGUGGCUUAUAAACAACAGAAAUGUAUUUCUCAUAGCUCUGGAGGCUGGAUAUCUGAAAUCAGGCUGCCAACAUGGUCAGGUUCUGGUGAAGGCCCUCUUCAGGGUUGUAGAUGGCUGUUUUUUCCCUUUACCUCACAAUGCAGAAAGAGAGCAAGAGCUCUCGGGUUGCUUUUAUAAGGCACUAAUCCCAUUCACAAGGGGUUUACCUCCCAAAGGCCUCAUCUCCUAAUACCAUCACAUUGAGGGUGAAGAUUUCAAAAAUACGAAUUUGCAGGAGACAGGGGUGGGGGUGAAUUCAUUGCACUGGCUCAGCCACUUAUUAGCUAAUGACUUUGGGCAAAUUGUUCACUCUUGUGCCUCAGUUUUCCCAUCUGUAAAAUAAAGAUGAUAAUAGCACCUCAUAGUGUUAUUGUAAUGAUUACGUGACAUAAUACAUGUGAAGUAUACUUGGAACAAUGUUAGGAAAAAUGUUGCCUAUUACUAGCUUUUACUUGGAUAGCUUAUCCUCGUGUCAAAUACGUUUUCAAAAUUGAGUUCAUCUUCCUGCUCUUCUUACCGUGGCUCUAUACAUGAUAUCAAAAAACUUUGGAAUUAUUUACUCAUAACCUAUAAUUAUCACCCACCAAAUAUGGUGAGUUUUUAUUUAAAAAUGUCCUCAUAUUCAUUCUUCCUUUUUAUAUACACUAACCUUCAUUUAGACUCUAUUAUCAUUGAUUAUUUUGCUAACUUCCUAGGUGUCUUCUAACUGGAGGCUAGCUUUCCCUAUUCAUUUGGGCCCUUACUGUCAGACCAGUGGGCCUCAAACAAUUAUUAAAACAUAUAUUCUUCUUGACUUCUGCUCAAAUGACCUCCGUUCCCACCUAACUUUGUUCAUUCAUUUAUUCAAUCAUCCAUUCAUUCCAAUGCAAGUUAUUUUACUACUAACAUUUUGGGUAUACUCUAGAUUUUCAGCCUCUCUACUUUGACAUUUCUCUCUUGGAUAUUCUCUCUUCGGAUAUACUCUAGCAUUUUCAAUCUCACUAUCUGACAUUUCUCCUUUCAGCAUCCAAGUUUUGUCUCUGGGAUUUGGAAGCCACCUGCAUUUUAAAAGAAAUUUUUUCCAGGAUCAGUCUCUCGCUGUGUUGCUCAGGCUGAAGUGCAGUGGCUGUACACAGGAGCGGUCAUCGCAUGUGACAGCCCCACACCCCUGGGCUCAAGUGACUCUCUUGCCCUCAGCCUCCUGAGUAGCUGGGACUACAGGUUUAUGGGAUGCAGGAUAAUGGAGCAUGCUCUAUCUGGGACAUUGCUAGUCUUAUGACAGAGGGAGAAGACAGCGAUGAGUUUUCGAAGAACUCCAGGAAGUGGCUGCAGAGCAAAGUAGGAUCCUGAUACUGAGCUCAAGUGAUUCAGAAUGAAAAGACCUUGGCACAGACCUGUUAAGGAAGCUCCAUAUAAGGUGAAGAAAACAACAUGCUCAGCCAUGUCCUUGCCUUCUGCACACGGUAGUGCAUUCACUGCCUGAGAAUUCAAGGCUAAAACAAAAAGAGGAGCUUUUGUUCCAACAGAUAAGUACUUACCUUUUUCAAAAAAUGCAUAAGCUGUCCUGGGUGUUUAGCAGUUAUUCGCACAGCUUUCCAAAGACUCACAGCAUUUAAAAGCUAACUCUACAGAGAUUCAACAGCUUCUUCCAGAUCCCACCACAGUGGAAAAGAACUCCGGUGUCCUGGCUCCCUGUCCAGCUCUUCUCUCUCCCCUUCCAGCUGCCAGUUCAGCUUUAAGAAGUUCAUUCUCCACAUUCAGAUGCAGGCAAAUGCGUUUGACUUGAGCAUAUUGAUUUCAGGCAGGUGAGAGUGGAUGUAGCGAUUCAGCUUGACAAAUAUUUAGAUCAGUUAAGUGUCCUUUAUAAAGAAGCACUUGAACUCAGUGUUUCCUUUACCCGACCAUUUCACUCCACAAGCUACCUCCCCAGCAUAAAAUAUUCAAAUUAUUUCUAAAUUUCAUCUACUGAAAAAAUACUUCUAGGCCCUAUAGCUACAUGAUAUCUCCACUGGGAGCCCUGUCCUUUCCAUGCCCUGGGAAAACCCGAUCUAAAGCAGAUUUAAAUGACUCAGCAGUAGGACUCAGGUCUCUGUCUCUGCCUGCUUACUUGGGGAGUGCUCCAGCCUUAGGGGCUCUCUUGCACUCCAACAUAGGAAAGAAAUUAUCGAUGGCUCCAUUCCCCAGCAUUUGAGACUUUUCUUCCCACAGACACAUUCCUGAGGACACCAGUCAUGGGUAAAGAACUCCACUGGGGUCAGCGUUGGAUCCCACUAGGCAGUUUAGGACUUGUAAGUAGAGUAGUGUGGACUUGGUGUUCCCAGAGCCUCUCACUCAUGAUUCAUGGCUCUCCACCCCAAGCAUCGGAACUUGCCCAACUUCACCACAGAAGGAAACAGACUGUAAGCUUGGAGGGCCAGGGAGGAAACCGGAGGCAUGUGUGGGAGGAUUAGAAACAUGAAAAGAUAUUUACAGUAAGGUUCGCUUGUCAUCCUCUUGAACUGGGGGUGCAUAGAGUACAAUAAGACCCCAUGUGAGUAUGUUAGAUGAUAAGGCUCAGGUUGGAUGGGUGUGUAGAGUAAAGGCUUUGCAUCACCUUUGCCAGGGUGAGGGAAGGCUAUGGAUAGCACAGGGGACCUUGAUGAUCGGGUGAGGGAGCCCAUGUGGACAUAGUGGUCACCAGCUACUUCCUAGUUCUCUACAUGGGAGAAAGAGCCCUUCUCUGUAAUCAUGGAAGCUCAAGUUCUUGGUGGUUCAGAGGUUAGAGACCUCUGAUUACUAGGACAGAGCAGAAUAGCAGGGCUGGUCCUGGUAGAUCAGACAUCUCAUGACAUCCUUUAAAAGGGACUAGAAUAUUCAGAACUCCGGUGUAACUAAAUGAUCCUCAAGCUUUACCAGCAGGUGAGCAAGGUCCCAUUGUAUUUGGUACUCACAUCCCCACCAAUUCUGUAAAAGUUUGCCAACUUUCCCCUCCAUCCCCUGCACCCUUUCACCAAAAGAUAUGCCUAAGAGUUCCCAAGAGACGUCUAACAUAGGCCUGCAUGUCAGCCCAGUCUUCUGGGCUGAGCUGCUGCACUGUUGCUGGCCUUGAUGGCUGAACCUGAUCUCUGUUGUGGCACCCACCACUCUUUCUCAAGCCUUGACACCUUGGCAGGCUUUGGCAAAAAGAGGAGAGCUGUUCUUCCUCGGCAUUAUGUUCACUUAGCAGGGUCCCACAGCAGGAUUGCUUGGACCCCAGAGUAUUGUAGGGCUUAAUAAGACCAGCCCUUUCAUCUCACACGCUCUAUCCUUUCUCUCACUGGUGCACCCACGUCAGGUGUCUUGAGUGGGGAGUGCUCGAAUAUCUGCCACCAGCUUGAGUCAGAACCUCGACUUCCCUCAGCUUUUCAGGGUCUGUUACUGAGUCUGGUCCACACUCCAGGGUCUUUUCCUCACGGUCUGGGUCUGGUCUUUUUCAGGUGCCUACCUUUCCUCCCUGCAAACUGCCUUGAGUUGCCUCCCCUUCUCCCUUCCUUCCUGGUCUGUCAGAGACAUCUUGUCUGGGUGCAUAUUUGAACCCCAUCAGUAGACAGAAAACAUGUAUUUCCUUGAAGGCCCCUCAGACCCCAGGUACAAACAUUGAAGUAAAUAACAGCAGGGAUGGGGGUUCUGCCUCGCUUCACCUGCCAGCCACGUGCAGACCUUGUUUCAGUCCAACUGAGACUUUAGCAAGUGCUUCAUUCUGGUUUGUGAAUGGCUUCCCAGUGUCUGUCACUGUGUUCACAGGGCCACCGGGGUUGGCUGAGUCAGAAUACCAGCCAUGUGGCAUGUCGCAUGGGGCAAGAGCUGUGCUGCCCAUGGGAGUCCAGAGAAGGAGCACACUAAGGACCAACACCAGGUAGGCCUUGCCCAAACAGGACUCUAAAGAAGUUGGCCAAAAGAGGGUUGCAGAUCUAGUAGUUUAGAAGUGGUGCCAAGAUAAGGUCAGAUUCCUUAUCUUGAGCCACCUUGAGGGUGGCUGUCCUGACCACCUGCAAUUGUUCACUACUCACCUGUAUAGGCCAGAUUGUGUCUGCCAGGCGGAUGGACCAGGCUGGUUUGAAGGACCAGGGCAGAUUACAUGCCCCAGACAGGUGUUAUACAGUGGUUAAAGCUCCUCCUUGUGUUUAAAGGAUUAUUUACAAAAUGUAAAAAGACCCAAAGACUUUCAUUCCUUUGUAAUGUUGGGAUUAAAAUCUCAACUAACAGUAGUCUAACUGGAUUGGAAAUGGGGGAUUUCCUAUGGAAAUUUCAUUCUUUUGAAUUCCAGCUGCAUACACAGUAGAUUUUUUCCCCCUAUAAAUGAAAGUGUAUGGCAAUCUGGGUAUUCUCUUAUUCAAGUAAAGAUAGUAGUAAACUAAAUAUUUUUUAGUGAGAGGAUUGCUUUAUAUUCUGCUUUUUCUGCUGUUGUUCACUAGGGCUUCUAAUACAAAUGUAGUAUCACCCUCAAUCAGCUCUUCUUAUAAUACCUGUUGUGUAUGAUGAUGUGGAUGCUUAGGGGAACAGGAUAGGGGAUCUCUUGUAUUUCAGGGGAUGCAGGCAUGAGUGGAUGGCCCAAGGUCAAAUAAUGAACUGAAGUUCAUUAUCUCUGUUUCCAGCUCUGCAGAUGAGCAAUAUCAUCACAACUAACCAAUUGAUCAAUUAUUCAUUCAGUCAUUUAAUGAGAAGCUACUGUGUACCCAUCCUUUCCUUGGCCUUCUGGACAGUUAGACAUGGUGCCUGUCUUCAGAUUGCUCACACACCAGUUGGAGACACAAAAGUUACAUGCAGUAAGCAACAAUCCCUAAAUGCUCAACAGCUCACCAAGCCUGAAUAGAGAGGAAGAGACCUUGGUGUGGCCUGGAAGGAAAGAGCAGCUUUGGGAAGGAGUGGCAUAAAAGAGAGAACUUAAUUCAGCAGUUUUUCUUCCUCUAUGCCCAGAUGGUAUUACAUGUGUUACUGGCCAGUGUUGGGUAACAGUGGCACUGAUGUGGUCACUAAGGGGCCCUUGGUACCAGGGCUGGGACAAGGGUGGGGAAAGCAAGACAUCUAGGCCCUUCAAGAAUGAGCACCUCCCUAAAUGAUGUGCGUAGGUUGUCCCUCCCUGGCCUCUACCUAGUCCCAGUAUGCUUUCUCUGCCUCUCUCUAUUUCAUUCUCUAGCUCCACCUUCUUUUUAUUAGUGUUAUUUUUUCUCCCUCCUGGUUGUUUUUCUCCAUUCUUUCUCUUCUUUUUUUUUUUUCUUUUCCUUUUUACUAGUCUACUUCUAAUACUCUUCCAGUGCCCCUCCGUAAUCCAUUCCAGAAGUUGCUGUAUUCUUAUGUAGACUGGUGCUAGAGGUCAUGGGGUGGAUGUAAACAAUGUCUGCAACCUGCCUUAGCAUUGUUAUUUUUAAUCCUGUGAUAACAAUAGUACUGACACAUAUUACAAGUCAUGUCUUUGGAUCUAGUUUCUGAGAAAGCCCAAGUUCUUUUUAUGAAAGAACACCCAUGUAAAGGAAUGAGAUGAUCUAAGUUACAUGAAGAAAUUAACUGCAACAAAAUGAUAUUAAUACAUUUGAUAUUCUUGGUCAACUAAUGCUUCUAAACAUCUUCCCUUCAGAGCAUAAGCUCCUUUCUCAUCUUAUUCUCCACAGACUCCUCUCCAUUGGAUCUCUAGCACCUAGAAUAGAGCUGGGUACACAUGAUGAGGUGCUUAAUACGUAUUUGUCAAAUUGAAUGUCAAGUUUUAGGAGUUUAAAGAGUGUUUUCAAAUGGGGAGAAGCCGAGACACAAAUAGUCUCAGGAAUGAGAUGAAAUUAUUUAACCAAUUGGAGAUGAAAUUCGAAAUGGAAACUAUGACAUGACUCAACAUCCUCAAGCCCUGAAGUAAUAAUUAGCACAUAAAGUUGGUCUGUUAUGGACUUUGUGUUGUGCUCCCUGCAAAAUUGGUAUGUUGAAAUCCUAACCCCCAAUGUGAUGGCAUUGGGAGGUGGAGCCUUUGGGAGGUCAUUAGGUCGCAAGGUUGGGGACUCAUGAAUGGGAUUAGUGCCCUCAUAUGAAGGAUCAGGAGAGAGCUUGCUUUUUCCUUUUUCUGUUCUCUACUUUGUGAGGAUACAGAGAGAAGACAGCUGUCUGCAAACCAGAAAGAGAGUCCUCACUGCACUUCAUAUCUGCCAAUGGAUCCUUGCUCUUGAACCUCCCAACCUGCAGAAUCAUGAGAAACAAACAUUGUGUAAGCCACCCACUCUACAGUAAUUUGUUCUAGCAGACCGAGCUGACUGAGGUAUGGUCUCAUCACGUAACCACUUUUAACCUUAGUCUUUCUAUCUGUAAAGUAAGUGGGUUAGAGAAAUCAUUCUAGAAGAUGUUUCUGCUUUAAAACAAAUUCUUCUAUUUCCUUUCCAAUGUGAAGUUUGGGUGGUCCCAUUGUAAAUGACUCCAUUUGAUUUUGGUUUUGAAUUUAUUGUCUUUCUUCCCACUUUCAUCUCAGGUACUUAGUGCCGGUAUGUGCUUUUGAUCACAGCCUCAGAAAAUAGAACAGUGUGUGGCAUUGGGAGGUGGGGCCUUUGCUUAGGAGCUUUGAAAACAGAAGUAAUUUUCUUGUCUGCAUGUUCACAGUUUAAGCCUAAGUUCUUUAAGUUUUAGUCUGUAUUAGUAUUGGUUUCAAACAUUUAAUGUAUGGAUUAUUCCUUUGGUUCCUGUAUUCCUGCUUUCAUAGGCAUAUUGACUUGUUAAAUAAGGAAAAUUAACUGAACUGUAGCCUAAGAAUCAGAAUCUUCAGGGCUAAAAGGAAAAAUGUAGAGUUUGGUCACAUCUCCACCCUGCUUUCUUCUGGGACCCUCGGGGUAAGGUAGCUGGUAUUUGGUUGACAUGGUCCAGGUAUUGAAUAGAUGUCCAUGCUUUCCUUUUCUUCAAGAAUGAGGAAGUUGUCUUCAGAUGCUGAAGUCGGAGUCUACAUAAAUAGCUGGGAUAUUAUAUCUGAGCAACC
This 8888-nucleotide long non-coding RNA is filed under the name Homo sapiens (human). Its description in RNAcentral is "non-protein coding lnc-KLF7-1:21". Lineage: Eukaryota; Metazoa; Chordata; Mammalia; Primates; Hominidae. The record is from RNAcentral.